Molecule: long non-coding RNA, 498 nt
Filed under: Homo sapiens (human)
Lineage: Eukaryota; Metazoa; Chordata; Mammalia; Primates; Hominidae
Description: non-protein coding lnc-CERK-19:1
Source: RNAcentral
CAGUGGACAUCAUUGUCCAGUGUGGGAAGCCUGGCCCCACUCAGACCCUGCUCACCCUGCUACCGACCCAGCUGCCAUCUUCCUCAGACUCCAGCAGGCCCUCCACUCCUAGCACACAGGCCGGAUUGAAUCUUCAGGAAAGAAGAGCACACCCAGGGUGGGACCUGACCUUCCCAAGGUCACACAACUGCGGAGCAGCAGAUCUGGGUCCUGGAUCCCCAAACUCUGAUGAGAUGCAGGCCGCUUCUUGCCCACACAGCAGCGUGAGCUGCUGUCCUGCGGUUUGAAGGACCAUCUAGGUGGCCUCGCAGACUGACCUCCAGGAAGACCAGAUGGCAUCCUGCUCCACACGUUUACUCUUGGUGACUUUGGAUCACUUGGUUAAUUUCUUUAGGCUUUAUUUCCCUUAUCUGUGCAAUGAGAUUGGUGAUGUUGUGUUUAAUGGAGAUGGUGAUGAUAACAGUAGUAAAACACAUUAAAGAGCCUGGCCACGAUAAA